Molecule: ribosomal RNA, 425 nt
Filed under: uncultured bacterium
Lineage: Bacteria
Description: bacterial SSU rRNA
Rfam family: Bacterial small subunit ribosomal RNA
Source: RNAcentral
GUGGGGGAUAUUGCACAAUGGGGGGAACCCUGAUGCAGCGACGCCGCGUGAAGGAAGAAGUAUUUCGGUAUGUAAACUUCUAUCAGCAGGGAAGAAAAUGACGGUACCUGACUAAGAAGCCCCGGCUAACUAUGUGCCAGCAGCCGCGGUAAUACAUAGGGGGCAAGCGUUAUCCGGAAUGACUGGGUGUAAAGGGAGCGUAGGCGGAAUGGCAAGUCUGAUGUGAAAACCCGGGGCUCAACCCCGGGCCUGCAUUGGAAACUGUUGUUCUAGAGAGCAGGAGAGGUAAGCGGAAUUCCUGGUGUAGCGGUGAAAUGCGUAGAUAUCAGGAGGAACACCGGUGGCGAAGGCGGCUUACUGGACUGUUACUGACGCUGAGGCUCGAAAGCGUGGGGAGCAAACAGGAUUAGAAACCCUAGUAGUCC